Molecule: ribosomal RNA, 366 nt
Filed under: Dascyllus reticulatus (reticulated damselfish)
Lineage: Eukaryota; Metazoa; Chordata; Actinopteri; Pomacentridae
Description: partial 12S ribosomal RNA
Rfam family: Bacterial small subunit ribosomal RNA
Source: RNAcentral
ACGUCAACGUCCUUGUCUUUCCCGCCUAAUAUACCGCCGUCGUCAGCUCACCCUUUGAGGGAACCAUAGUAAGCAAAAUUGGCACAGCCCAGUACGUCAGGUCGAGGUGUAGCUAAUGAGAGGGGAUGAGAUGGGCUACAUUUCCUAAACAAGGAAAUACGAAUAAUGAUUCUGAAACGAGCAUUAGAAGGAGGAUUUAGUAGUAAGUAGAAAACAGAGUGUUCUACUGAAUUGGCCACUUAAGCGCGCACACACCGCCCGUCACUCUCCCCAAGCUAAACAAAAUUUAUUCCUAAAACCCCUAUCUGCAACAGGGGAGGCAAGUCGUAACAUGGUAAGUGUACCGGAAGGUGCACUUGGAAAAAU